GUUUUUGCGCAUGUGCAGAAGGUUUUGUGCAUGCGCAGAAGGUCUGCCGCACAUGUGACACGUACGUGAGCGAAGCGAGCACACACGGGUGGUGUGUGCACUUCCAAACUGGUAAGGAAGAUCUGGGCUGCAGACAUUUGGAUGACCACUUGAUGGCAGCAAAAAAACAGAGAAGGGCUUCAACUUUUCAGACAUAUUUCUGCUUCUCCCUGUUUCUUCUGCAGACACUCAUUUAAAGUUUUUUCCAUAGCCAAUGGAUGUACUCUCUCACUCUCUGUCAGCUGUUCCUCUUCCCCUUAAGAUUCAGAUUCUGACAGGGGCAUGACAACUAAAUGCUGAAAUACUGCCAAAUAAAUGUGGCAAUUAGGAGGGAGAGGAGCGAUGGAAAUAAACUGACAAGCAGUGACAACGCAAAAAGGCAAAGUAGCAGAUGAAAGAAGGAAAGAAACUCUGGCUCGAUAAAUCUUUGUGACUGAGUGAAUUGAUAACAACCCAAAGCAUGGUUGGCAGGGACUGCAGUAUCUAACUAACUAUAAGGGCAACAUGAGGAACACGGUCAACGCUGAUGCCUCAUUGGUGGAGGAGUUGAACACCUUCUUCGACCGCUACGAGAUGAAAAGACCAGAUCCCGUAGCCGCUGCCAGCCGGCCUUCUGAUUCCCAGCCACUCACCUUCUACAAACACCAAGAUUCUCUUCUUCAAAGACCUUUUCACCUGAUCACAUCCCAUCCUUUGUAUGACCUCAGUAGAGGGAAACAAACCUGAGAACCAUAUUGGUCUUGUGCCAGACAAAUGAGAUCCAAAUUCUUGCAACUCAACAUGUAUAGAAAGGUCCAUCAAGGUCAUACUCAACCUAAGGUUUUGCAAGGUCCAGUAUUCGUAGUUUUUUGUCUUUCUUAUCAACGGUGCUAACUCUGGGAUGGAAGACCACAACUGAGCUAAAAAUUUCCAUUGCUAAGCAAGACAGUUGUUAAAUGGAUUUUGUCCUUUUUAUUUCCAAAGUUGUUAAGCGUAUCACUGCUGUUGUUAAGUGAAUCAUGCUGUCAUUAAAAAAAUCUGAC
Molecule: long non-coding RNA, 1061 nt
Organism: Ahaetulla prasina
Lineage: Eukaryota; Metazoa; Chordata; Lepidosauria; Squamata; Colubridae
Exons: 7
Source: RefSeq, a predicted model, not a curated record